RNAcentral lists this long non-coding RNA (647 nucleotides) under Vigna radiata. Its description in RNAcentral is "long non-coding RNA (VRAD_LNC011062)". Lineage: Eukaryota; Viridiplantae; Streptophyta; Magnoliopsida; Fabales; Fabaceae. The record is from RNAcentral.
CCAAUUUGAGGUUUUCUUUUUCUUGUAGCUUUGUAGUUUAGUUUAGGCUUUUAGUUCUGUUCUUUUGUGUUUACUUUUCUUAGUCUUGUUCAUAUACAUUGUGUGCUCUGUUGAAUUUAGUUUUCUUAGUUUUAUUCUAUUAUAUAUAUUCUUUUUCAAUUUUAGUUCUUUUUCAUUUCUGUUUUGAAUAAGUCUAAUAAUGUUUGUCCUGUUUGAUUUGUACAUACUUGUUUUGCUAUUGUCCAAUUCUAGCCAUUUUUGUGUUUUUCAAUUUCUGUUAUGUAAAUAUCUGAUGCUGUUUGUCUUGUAUAUACCUUUUACAUGUCUUUGUUUGUUAUGUGUGGUUUAGGAACCUUACCCACUCACACAUUGAGGACAAUGUGCCUCUUAGGUGUGGGGGUGGGAAGGUAUAGGUGAAAUUUUUUUCCUGAUAUAAAUAACUUUGUUUAGCUCUAGUUUUAGUAAUAAAAUAGGGGUAAAUUUUUUUUUUCUGUUUUCUCUUUAUUUUUAGGUCUGAUGGAGUUUAUAAAUAGCUAGUGUAGUUUAUUAUUUUUGUUGUGGUCUGUAAAUACCUAUUUUUGUUACUGCUUUGUUUUAGUUUAGUUUUUAGCUUUGAUGAUAAUUGUUCUUAGGUCUAAAGUUCUUUC